This 1516-nucleotide long non-coding RNA is filed under the name Manacus vitellinus (golden-collared manakin). RNAcentral describes it as "lncRNA (ENSMVIG00005008818.1)". The record is from RNAcentral. Lineage: Eukaryota; Metazoa; Chordata; Aves; Passeriformes; Pipridae.
GUCAGACAACGGGGUUUUAGGUGGCCCUUGAUGUGCUUUUGAAGCAGCUCAACCUGAUCCAGCGUGGUUGGACCCACAGUCAUCCCUCCUCCAGGUCAGGAAAUCUCUCUUCCAUGUCAGGAGGUCCCUCCUGCAGGUCAGGAGGUCCCUUUUCCCUGUUCCCAUGUCAGGAGGUCCUUUUUCCCUGUUCCCAUGUCAGGAGGUCCUUCUUCCCUGUUCCCACGUCAGGAGCUUCGCUUUUGGCUGGGUUAAAAUGGUGUGAGUGGACUGUCCACCUCUUCACUCCCCAGGAAACCCCCAGGGAAUGAUGUCUGUCCUUCCUCCAGGUGGGCACACCCCGUGGUUCCCAGGCCCCUCAGCCACUCUCCCUGUGCUCCAUGCCUUGGCAUUUUUGGGGUUCCCAUCACAGGGUCAGUGGGGACGGUACGAAACCCCCGGCUGGGGCAUUUAUGAUUAUUCACCCAGUGACCAUAAUCACCAUAAGGGGAUGUCACAAGAGCCUGACAAGGGCUGCUGCCCAUAAAUCCCCCCUGAUUGGCAUUAAUUGCACCGUCCUGCUCCGGCUCUCUAUUAAUUGAGUCCCUAUCAGCUGCUCCAUUAUUCCCGGGAUCGAUGGCAGCCUGACAGCCCCGUAAUUACCUGGGGCGGCUUGUUUGCCCUUUAAAGCACCGCCACAACAGCAGCUUUCCCCAGCCCUCUGGACCCACCCAGCUCUUCAAAGGCUGAUUGAAAAUCAACAUUAAUGGCCCUGCCGUUCCCCUUGGCCGGCGGUUUGUGACGUUCCUAUUCCCAUUCCCGUUCCCGGGCUGUGGCUGAGCCGGAGCUGCCGAGCUCCACACGCCGGGUUUGACAGCUCAGCGGCCCUGGGAGGGACUGUGGCCAUGGGAAGGCUUCCAUCACCAAGCAGAGAUGCCAGCCCUGGGCUUCCUCCCGUCCAACAGCACCGAACCCCCCUGCCCUCCCCUCACCCUGCAGGCUGGCCGCUGUUGGUGGGGUCGUCGUGGCCCAGUGGUGUGAGCAAACAGCUGCUGGGGGGCACAGCACGCCCAGGAGAGGCUGGGAGCACCCAGGGAGGGAGGAGAAACCUUGUCCUCGUCCUGCUGGGCACCAAGGAACAGAAACACCACCCUUGUCCUGCUGGGGACUGAGGAAUGGAAACCCUGUCCUGAUCCUGCCGGGACUGAGCCGGGGCCAGGGCACCCUGGCAGGGCAAUGCCACCUCCACACCAGGGCAGUGCUCAGCACCCACCAGGUCCCAGACACGCCCUCUCCUGCUGUGUUUGCUGUCAAUAAACCCUGUUCUGGAAGCAGCCCCUUCCCGAGCAUUCCCUCCCUGCUUCCAUGGGCAGGAGUGGCGGCAGAGCCUGUGCCUGUGGUGGCUCACACAGCUCCAGCACCUCCCAUUUGUCUCCAUUACCUGGAAGAAAGGCACAAUGAUCCUUGUAAAGGGCCCCUUGUUGGGCCACACCACUGCUCCUUCCCAGGUUUCCUGCGCCUAAUGAAGACAAAUGAACAU